Molecule: ribosomal RNA, 340 nt
Filed under: uncultured bacterium
Lineage: Bacteria
Description: bacterial SSU rRNA
Rfam family: Bacterial small subunit ribosomal RNA
Source: RNAcentral
ACUCCUACGGGAGGCAGCAGUGGGGAAUAUUGCACAAUGGGCGCAAGCCUGAUGCAGCCAUGCCGCGUGUAUGAAGAAGGCCUUCGGGUUGUAAAGUACUUUCAGCAGUGAGGAAAGGCGGGGUACGUUAAUAGCGUGCUCGUUUGACGUUAGCUGCAGAAAGAAGCACCGGCUAAACUCCGUGCCAGCAGCCGCGGGUAAUACGGAGGGUGCGAGCGUUAAUCGGAAUUACUGGGCGUAAAGCGCAUGCAGGUGGUUUGUUAAGUCAGAUGUGAAAGCCCGGGGCUCAACCUCGGAAUAGCAUUUGAAACUGGCAGACUAGAGUACUUAGAGGGGGGUA